Vespa mandarinia (Asian giant hornet) is the source of this 524-nucleotide long non-coding RNA. RefSeq lists it as uncharacterized. Lineage: Eukaryota; Metazoa; Arthropoda; Insecta; Hymenoptera; Vespidae. The record is from RefSeq and is a predicted model, not a curated record.
UUUAGAUAUUGAUAUAUUGCAAGCACUGUCUAUCGAACCAAGUUUGAAAGUUGCUGCAUGUAGAGACCUAUAGGCUAACUAUUCUAAAAUCCGCAUCUGCGAACAUACACGUAAGUGUUAGAAUAAUGGUAACUACGUUAUUAAAAUCCGAGGUGAUAUGAGCUAAUCAAGAAUUCUGGUUUCCAACGCUAUCUGGAGGAGAGUCAAUCCACGCUUACGGUUAACAGGACUGCGUAACAUCGGUAGCUACAUAUACUCUACUACAAGAUUCGGACCUUUCAUCUCGACAUGAUUGAAUGAUCAGAGGAUCUUAAAAAUUCACUUACUACUUAAGAAGUUCUGCGAUGACUCCAAAAUCCUCGUCCGAAAUUUAGAUUGAAAUUGAAGGUGGAUGAUUCGUAAAUGAUUGAAAAUAAAGUAAGUCGAAGUUGUUAAAAAUCCUCUUCAAUGAUGCAUUGAUUCUAACCAUUACUAAAAGUAACUGCGAUAGUUACUUUUUAAUAAACGAUCAUUGAAGUUAAUUC